RNAcentral lists this ribosomal RNA (440 nucleotides) under uncultured bacterium. RNAcentral's name for it is "partial 16S ribosomal RNA". It matches the Rfam family "Bacterial small subunit ribosomal RNA", at positions 338 to 795 of the family's 1533-position model. The record is from RNAcentral.
CCUACGGGUGGCUGCAGUGGGGGAUAUUGCACAAUGGGGGAAACCCUGAUGCAGCGACGCCGCGUGGGUGAAGAAGCGCCUCGGCGCGUAAAGCCCUUUCAGCAGGGAAGAAAAUGACGGUACCUGAAGAAGAAGCCCCGGCUAACUACGUUCCAACAGCCGCGGUAAUACGUAGGGGGCAAGCGUUAUCCGGAGUUACUGGGUGUAAAGGGGGCGCAGACGGCGAUGCAAGCCAGGAGAGAAAGCCCGGGGCCCAACCCCGGGACUGCACUUGGAACUGCGUGGCUAGAGUGCAGGAGGGGCAGGCGGAAUUCCUGGUGUAGCGGUGAAAUGCGUAGAUAUCAGGAGGAACACCGGUGGCGAAGGCGGCCAGCUGGACUGCAACUGACGUUGAGGCCCGAAAGCGUGGGGAGCAAACAGGAUUAGAUACCCGAGUAGUC